GCCGCAGCGAAAGCGAGUUUUAAUAGAGCGUUUAGUCGUAUGCGAUAGACCCGAAGCCAAGUGAUCUAUCCAUGAGCAGGGUGAAGCAAAGGUAAGACUUUGUGAAGGCCCGAACCCACUGAUGUUGCAAAAUCAGGGGAUGACUUGUGGAUAGGGGUGAAAGGCCAAUCAAACUUGGUGAUAGCUGGUUCUCUCCGAAAUGUCUUUAGGGACAGCGUUAUAUGUUGCGCUUUGGAGGUAGAGCACUGAUUGAUCUAGGGGGCCAACAAGCUUACCAAACUCAGUCAAACUCCGAAUGCCAAAGUGUUUAAAUAUAGCAGUGAGCCCGUGGGGGAUAAGCUCCACGGACGAGAGGGAAACAACCCAGAACAACAGCUAAGGCCCCUAAUUGUAUAUUAAGUGUGAAACGAUGUGAAAGUGUUCAGACAGCCAGGAGGUUGGCUUAGAAGCAGCCAUUCCUUUAAAGAGUGCGUAACAGCUCACUGGUCGAAUGUUUUCGCGCGGAAGAUGUAACGGGGCUAAAUAUACAGCCGAAGCUUUGUCAUCAUAUUAUUAAUCCAGAUUUCGAUCCAGGAAAUAUGAUGGGUAGGAGAGCGUUGUAUGGGCAAUGAAGCAGCAACGAGAGUUAGUUGUGGAGACCAUACAAGUGAGAAUGUUGGCAUGAGUAGCGAAGGAAGAGUGAGAAUCUCUUCCGCCGAAUGUCCAAGGGUUCCUGGGGAAGGUUCGUCCGCCCAGGGUUAGUCGGGACCUAAGACGAGGUCGAGAGACGUAGCCGAUGGAUAACAGAUUGAUAUUUCUGUACCACUAUAUAAGCGCCAAAAUCGAAUAUAUGUCGCUAAGGAAAGCCUUCGGGCCUACCGACCCACAUAUUAUUAGAUUAGCAAUGGAGUGACGGAGAAGGAUAAAUGAGCCCAGGCGAUGGUUGACCUGGGGUAAAUGCGUAGGGUGAUCGACAGGUAAAUCCGUUGAUCAUGAAACCUGAGACAUGAUGCCGAGCCGCUUUUAGGCGAAGUCAUUGAUUCCAUACUUCCAAGAAAACCUUCUAGUUAGUUUAUAUAGUGCCCGUACCCCAAACCGACACAGGUGGACAAGUAGAGAAUACUAAGGCGAGCGAGAGAACUCUGGUUAAGGAACUCGGCAAAAUAGUUCCGUAACUUCGGAAGAAGGAACGCCCCAGUAAAGUGAGUGAUUAACUUCAUUAGCUUGAACGGGCCGCAGUGAUCAGACUCAAGCGACUGUUUAUCAAAAACACAGGAGGGUGCAAAGUUCGAAUACAACGUAUACCCUCUGACACCUGCCCGGUGCUGGAAGGUUAAGUGGAUAGGUUAGCUUCGGCGAAGCUUUGAAAUUAAGCCCCAGUAAACGGCGGCCGUAACUAUAACGGUCCUAAGGUAGCGAAAUUCCUUGUCGGGUAAGUUCCGACCUGCACGAAUGGUGUAACGAUUUGAGUACUGUCUCAACCAGAGACUCGGCGAAAUUGCAAUGUGAGUAAAGAUGCUCACUAUGCGCGACAGGACGGAAAGACCCCGGAACCUUUACUGCAACUUGAUAUUGAAUGUUUGUAUGCAUUAUGCAGGAUAAGUGGGAGACUAUGAAAUAAUGGCGCUAGCUGUUAUUGAGUCGACCUUGAGAUACCACUUAAUCCAUAUUGACCUUCUAACCUAGAUCCGUUAUCCGGAUCAGGGACAUUGUCUGGUGGGCAGUUUCACUGGGGCGGUGGCCUCCUAAAAAGUAACGGAGGCGCUCUAAGGUCACCUCAGCGUGGACGGCAAUCACGCAUCGAGUGUAAGUGCAAAAGGUGGCUUGACUGUGACACAAACAAGUGGAGCAGGUACGAAAGUAGGAACUAGUGAUCCCAUGGUUGCAUGUGGGUGCGCCAUGGCUCAUCGGCUAAAAGGUACUCCGGGGAUAACAGGCUUAUACCCCCCAAGAGUCCAUAUCGACGGGGGUGUUUGGCACCUCGAUGUCGGCUCUUCUCAUCCUGGGGCUGGAGCAGGUCCCAAGGGUUAGGCUGUUCGCCUAUUAAAGAGGAACGCGAGCUGGGUUCAGAACGUCGUGAGACAGUUCGGUCCCUAUCCGUCGCGCACGUAAGAAAUUUGAAGAAAGUUGUCCCUAGUACGAGAGGACCGGGAUGAACGAUCCGCUGGUGUGCCAGUUGUUCUGCCAAGAGCACCGCUGGUUAGCUACGAUCGGACGGGAUAAGCGCUGAAAGCAUCUAAGUGCGAAGCCCCUUCUAAGAUAAGAUUUCUCAUCGGGUUAACCGAUUAAGACUCCUUAUAGAACAUGAGGUUGAUAGGUCAGAAGUGUAAUUACAGUAAUGUAUGUAGCUGACUGAUACUAAUAAGUCGAGGGCUUGAACUG
RNAcentral lists this ribosomal RNA (2361 nucleotides) under Candidatus Actinomarina sp. RNAcentral describes it as "partial 23S ribosomal RNA". It matches the Rfam family "Bacterial large subunit ribosomal RNA", at positions 665 to 2925 of the family's 2925-position model. The record is from RNAcentral. Lineage: Bacteria; Bacillati; Actinomycetota; Actinomycetes; Candidatus Actinomarinales; Candidatus Actinomarinaceae.